Long non-coding RNA from Oncorhynchus keta (chum salmon), 10914 nucleotides. RefSeq lists it as uncharacterized. NCBI's taxonomy places the organism in Eukaryota, Metazoa, Chordata, Actinopteri, Salmoniformes, Salmonidae. The record is from RefSeq and is a predicted model, not a curated record. The transcript has 7 exons.
AGUGGUUAGAGUGUAAGGGCGGCAGGUAGACUAGUGGUUAGAGUGUAGGGGCGGCAGGUAGACUAGUGGUUAGAGUGUAAGGGCGGCAUGUAGACUAGUGGUUAGAGUGUAGGGGUGGCAGGUAGACUAGUGGUUAGAGUGUAGGGGCGGCAGGUAGACUAGUGGUUAGAGUGUAGGGGUGGCAGGUAGACUAGUGGUUAGAGUGUAGGGGUGGCAGGUAGACUAGUGGUUAGAGUGUAGGGGUGGCAGGUAGACUAGUGCUUAGAGUGUAAGGGCGGCAGGUAGACUAGUGGUUAGAGUGUAGGGGCGGCAGGUAGACUAGUGGUUAGAGUGUAGGGGUGGCAGGUAGACUAGUGGUUAGAGUGUAGGGGUGGCAGGUAGACUAGUGGUUAGAGUGUAGGGGUGGCAGGUAGACUAGUGCUUAGAGUGUAGGGGCGGCAGGUAGACUAGUGGUUAGAGUGUAGGGGCGGCAGGUAGACUAGUGGUUAGAGUGUAGGGGCGGCAGGUAGACUAGUGGUUAGAGUGUAGGGGUGGCAGGUAGACUAGUGGUUAGAGUGUAGGGGCGGCAGGUAGACUAGUGGUUAGAGUGUAGGGGCGGCAGGUAGACUAGUGGUUAGAGUGUAGGGGUGGUAGGUAGACUAGUGGUUAGAGUGUAGGGGCGGCAGGUAGACUAGUGGUUAGAGUGUAGGGGCGGCAGGUAGACUAGUGGUUAGAGUGUAGGGGCGGCAGGUAGACUAGUGGUUAGAGUGUAGGGGCGGCAGGUAGACUAGUGGUUAGAGUGUAGGGGCGGCAGGUAGACUAGUGGUUAGAGUGUAGGGGUGGCAGGUAGACUAGUGCUUAGAGUGUAGGGGCGGCAGGUAGCCUAGUGGUUAGAGUGUAGGGGCGGCAGGUAGACUAGUGGUUAGAGUGUAGGGGCGGCAGGUAGACUAGUGGUUAGAGUGUAGGGGUGGUAGGUAGACUAGUGGUUAGAGUGUAGGGGCGGCAGGUAGACUAGUGGUUAGAGUGUAGGGGCGGCAGGUAGACUAGUGGUUAGAGUGUAAGGGCGGCAGGUAGACUAGUGGUUAGAGUGUAGGGGCGGCAGGUAGACUAGUGGUUAGAGUGUAGGGGCGGCAGGUAGACUAGUGGUUAGAGUGUAGGGGCGGCAGGUAGACUAGUGGUUAGAGUGUAGGGGCGGCAGGUAGACUAGUGGUUAGAGUGUAGGGGCGGCAGGUAGACUAGUGGUUAGAGUGUAGGGGCGGCAGGUAGACUAGUGGUUAGAGUGUAGGGGCGGCAUGUAGACUAGUGGUUAGUCUGUAGGGGCGGCAGGUAGACUAGUGGUUAGAGUGUAGGGGCGGCAGGUAGACUAGUGGUUAGAGUGUAGGGGCGGCAGGUAGACUAGUGGUUAGUCUGUAGGGGCGGCAGGUAGACUAGUGGUUAGAGUGUAGGGGCGGCAGGUAGACUAGUGGUUAGAGUGUAGGGGCGGCAGGUAGACUAGUGGUUAGUCUGUAGGGGCGGCAGGUAGACUAGUGGUUAGAGUGUAGGGGCGGCAGGUAGACUAGUGGUUAGAGUGUAGGGGCGGCAUGUAGACUAGUGGUUAGAGUGUAGGGGCGGCAGGUAGACUAGUGGUUAGAGUGUAGGGGCGGCAGGUAGACUAGUGGUUAGUCUGUAGGGGCGGCAGGUAGACUAGUGGUUAGAGUGUAGGGGCGGCAGGUAGACUAGUGGUUAGUCUGUAGGGGCGGCAGGUAGACUAGUGGUUAGAGUGUAGGGGCGGCAGGUAGACUAGUGGUUAGAGUGUAGGGGCGGCAGGUAGACUAGUGGUUAGUCUGUAGGGGCGGCAGGUAGACUAGUGGUUAGUCUGUAGGGGCGGCAGGUAGACUAGUGGUUAGAGUGUAGGGGCGGCAGGUAGACUAGUGGUUAGUCUGUAGGGGCGGCAGGUAGACUAGUGGUUAGAGUGUAGGGGCGGCAGGUAGACUAGUGGUUAGUCUGUAGGGGCGGCAGGUAGACUAGUGGUUAGAGUGUAGGGGCGGCAGGUAGACGAGUGGUUAGAGCGUUGGGCCAGUAACUGAAAGGGUGCAAGAUCGAAUCCCCGAGCUAACAAGGUAAAAAUCUGUCAUUUUGCCCCUGAACAAGGCAGUUAACCCACUGUUCCUAGGCCAUCAUUGUAAAUAAUAAUUUGUUCUUAACUGACUUGCCUGGUUAGAUAAGAUAAUAAUAAUAAUGAGUGUUAUGACGUAGAGUUCAAACAAAGUGUUACCGGUUAGUUUUUAUUCUUGUUGUUUGGACACAUUUAGAUGAAUGUUGUCGGUAAACAUUUCAUUGUCUUCACUUCUGUCUCCUGCAUGUUUUCAUGUAUGAUGAUCGUCAAAGGAGUCAGUCACAGAAAGGGACAUUACUAAAACCACACAGGAGAACAAAGUAGCGUGAGCACAGCUCAACUCAAUGACUUGGGGCUAUUGAAAGGAGUAUUAUAUCAGCCUGCAUACCUGGUGGUUGUAAUGACAACAACGUCUACCGAUCAGCCGACCGACAAGGUCCCUGAGCAAGGUUCCUGUUGGGGACUGUUGACAUUAUACAGUUCUGUGUGGGAGUAACACACACACACACAGAUACACACACAGAGAUAUACACACACACACAUAGAUGUACACACACACACACACACACACACACACAGAUACAUACCCAGAUAUCCACACACACACACAGAUAUACACACACACAAACACACACUCACAUAGAUAUACACACACACAAACACUCUCACAUAGAUAUAUACACACACACACAUAGAUAUAUACACACACACAUAGAUAUACACACACACACAUAGAUAUACACACACACACAUAGAUAUAUACACACACACACACACAUAGAUAUACACACAAACACUCACACAUUCACUCACAUAGAUAUACACACACACAUAGAUAUACACGCAAACACACACACACAGAUAUACACAAACACACAUAUAGAUAGAUAUACACACACAUGCAUAGAUAUGCGCACACAUACUGUUGAUAUACACACACAUACACACAGGGAGCGUUGGGAUUGUGUGCUGGUUUCCAUGCAUUUACACGUCAUCAUCACAGGAGUGAGAUAUAUACACACACAGAUAUACACACACACACACACAUAUAGAUAUAUAUAUAUAUAUUUUUUUUUUUAACCAGGAAGGGCUCAUUGAGAUUAAAAUCUAUUUUUCAAGAGCGCCCUGGCCAAGACAGGCAGCACCAAGUCAUUACAAAAAUAUUACAGACAGACAACAUGAAAAACUACAAGUAAUCUAGUAAAAACCAUUGAAUUCACAGGAGUAUAAAACAGUCAAUUGAAAACAUUGACAGGUCAGGGAAUCAGCCUCAAAAUCCUUCAUCAGUGAUUUAAAAACACCAAUCGGGACAAGUUCUUCCAGUUUAAAAGUAUUUUGUAAGGUGUUCCAAGACGAUGGCGCAGAGUACAUAAAAGCCCGUUUACCAAAUUCAGUUGGGACAUUUGGAACAGUUAGCAGGAUAAAGUCCAGCGAACGAAGAGACGACUCACCACAUUUCUGAACAAUAAAAUGCACAAAUUAAAAGGCAGUAAACCUAAAAUGUCUUUGUAAAUAAAAGUAUACCAGUGACUGAGCCUACGAGUGACUAGAGAAGGCCAGCCAACCCUGGUAUACAAAGUGCAGUGGUGCGUAAGGUUUUGCAGGGUAAAAUAAAUCUCAAAGUGCUAUGGUAAAGAGUGUCAAUUGAUCUCAAACACUGAGUGGAAGCAUUCAUAUAUAAAAUAUCCCCAUAGUCUAGUAAAGGCAUAAAUGUAGCUGAUACUAGCCUCCUUCUGGCUUCAAAAGAAAAACAGGCCUUAUUCCUAAAAUAAAAUCCCAAUUUCAGCUUAAAUUUAUUUGUAAGUUGUUGAAUGUGCAAUUUAAAAGAGAGGCCAUCAAAUCAAUCAGGGUAGAUUUAUCUGGGCAUUUAAGAUUUGGGCGGGUGGGUGAGUUAAUCAACUGGGUAAGAUUCAUAGAAUUACAAAACAUACACACACACACACACACACACACAGAUAGAUAUACACACAAACACACACACACACACACACAUAGAUAUACACACAUAGAUAUACACACACACACAUAGAUAUACACACAUAGAUAUACACACACACACAUAGAUAUACACACACACUCACAUGGAUAUACACACACACAAACACACACACACACAUAGAUAUACACACACACAUAGAUAUACACACAAACACACACACACUCACAUGGAUAUACACACACACUCACAUGGAUAUACACACACACACACACACACAUAGAUAUACACACACACAUAGAUAUACACACAAACACACACACACACAUAGAUAUACACACACUCACAUAGAUAUACACACAAACACACACUCACAUGGAUGUACACACACACACACACACAUAGAUAUACACACACACAAACACACACACUCACAUAGAUAUACACAUAGAUAUACACACACACAAACUCACAUAGAUAUACACACACACACACACACAUAGAUAUACACAAACACACAUUCAGACACACAUAGAUAUACACACACACACAAACUCACAUAGAUAUACACACACACACACAGAUAUAGACAUACACACAUAGAUAUACACACACAUGCAUACAUAUGCACACACAUAAUGUAGAUAUACACACACAUACACACAGGGAGCGUUGGGAUUGUGUGCUGGUUUACAUGCAUUUACACGUCAUCACAGGAGUGAGUUUGAUGUCACUUCUUUUUGACGUUCUAUUCUACAAUAAUUUUCUAUUGAAUAAAGAGGUUGUCAAUGAUACAUACAUAUGUAGGUGUGCUAGUGCUAUUUUGCAUGUAGCUGUAUCUAUAGAUUCAUUAAAUAAGUAGCUGUUUGCGUAAUGUAUAUAGCACGGAUGUAAAUUGUAUACAUUGCCUGGUUGUUGUGAGGUGUGUGUGUGGGUGUGUGUGAUUUGCCCUGGUCAGAGUUUGCCUAAACCAAAUGUCUAGAUCAGCAAAAGCAAAAUAGGAGGAAGGGGGAGGAAGGGACAGUGACCGUAUGUAACAGAUAUAACAGAUAUAUAGCAAAUGGGGUGAAUACAUAUGCACGCAACAAUUUUCAGUUUAAAAAAUAAUCAUCUUUUGAGAAAUAUAUAUUUUUUUCAUUUCACUUCACCAAUUUGGACUAUUUUGUAUCUGUCCAUUACAUGAAAUCCCAAUAAAAAUCUAUUUAAAUUACAGGUUGCAAUGCAAGAAAAUAGGAAAAAUGCCAAGGGGAUGAAUACUUUUGCAAGGCAUGGUACAUUCUAUAAUAUAUAUAUAUACAGUGCCUUGCGAAAGUAUUCGGCCCCCUUGAACUUUGCGACCUUUUGCCACAUUUCAGGCUUCAAACAUAAAGAUAUAAAACUGUAUUUUUUUGUGAAGAAUCAACAACAUGUGGGACACAAUCAUGAAGUGGAACAACAUUUAUUGGAUAUUUCAAACUUUUUUAACAAAUCAAAAACUGAAAAAUUGGGCGUGCAAAAUUAUUCAGCCCCUUUACUUUCAGUGCAGCAAACUCUCUCCAGAAGUUCAGUAAGGAUCUCUGAAUGAUCCAAUGUUGACCUAAAGGAUUAAUGAUGAUAAAUACAAUCCACCUGUGUGUAAUCAAGUCUCCGUAUAAAUGCACCUGCACUGUGAUAGUCUCAGAGGUCCGUUAAAAGCGCAGAGAGCAUCAUGAAGAACAAGGAACACACCAGGCAGGUCCGAGAUACUGUUGUGAAGAAGUUUAAAGCCGGAUUUGGAUACAAAAAGAUUUCCCAAGCUUUAAACAUCCCAAGGAGAACUGUGCAAGCAAUAAUAUUGAAAUGGAAGGAGUAUCAGACCACUGCAAAUCUACCAAGACCUGGCCAUCCCUCUAAACUUUCAGCUCAUACAAGGAGAAGACUGAUCAGAGAUGCAGCCAAGAGGCCCAUGAUCACUCUGGAUGAACUGCAGAGAUCUACAGCUGAGGUGGGAGACUCUGUCCAUAGGACAACAAUCAGUCGUAUAUUGCACAAAUCUGGCCUUUAUGGAAGAGUGGCAAGAAGAAAGCCAUUUCUUAAAGAUAUCCAUAAAAAGUGUCGUUUAAAGUUUGCACAUGGUGGUGGCAGCAUCAUGGUUUGGGCCUGCUUUUCUUCAGCAGGGACAGGGAAGAUUGAUGGGAAGAUGGAUGGAGCCAAAUACAGGACCAUUCUGGAAGAAAACCUGAUGGAGUCUGCAAAAUACCUGAGACUGGGACGGAGAUUUGUCUUCCAACAAGACAAUGAUCCAAAACAUAAAGCAAAAUCUACAAUGGAAUGGUUCAAAAAUAAACAUAUCCAGGUGUUAGAAUGGCCAAGUCAAAGUCCAGACCUGAAUCCAAUCGAGAAUCUGUGGAAAGAACUGAAAACUGCUGUUCACAAAUGCUCUCCAUCCAACCUCACUGAGCUCGAGCUGUUUUGCAAGGAGGAAUGGGAAAAAAUGUCAAGUCUCUCGAUGUGCAAAACUGAUAGAGACAUACCCCAAGCGACAUACAGCUGUAAUCGCAGCAAAAGGUGGCGCUACAAAGUAUUAACUUAAGGGGGCUGAAUAAUUUUGCACGCCCAAUUUCAGUUUUUGAUUUGUUAAAAAAGUUUGAAAUAUCCAAUAAAUGUUGUUCCACUUCAUGAUUGUGUCCCACUUGUUGUUGAUUCUUUACAAAAAAAUACAGUUUUAUAUAUUUAUGUUUGAAGCCUGUAAUGUGGCAAAAGGUCGCAAAGUUCAAGGGGGCCGAAUACUUUCUCAAGGCACUGUAUCUAUAUACAGUUGAAGUCGGAGGUUUACAUACACUUAGGUUGGAGUCAUUAAAACUCGUUUUUCAACCACUACACAAAUUUCUUGUUAACAAACUAUAGUUUUGGCAAGUCGGUUAGGACAUCUACUUUGUGCAUGACACAAGUAAUCUUUCCAACAAUUGUUUACAGACAGAUUAUUUCACUUAUAAUUCACUGUAUCACAAUUCCAGUGGGUCAGAAGUUUACUUACACAAAGUUGACUGUGCCUUUAAACAGCUUGGAAAAUUCCAGAAAAUUAUUUCAUGGCUUUAGAAGCUUCUGAUAGGCUAACUGACAUAAUUUGAGUCAAUUGGAGGUGGACCUGUGGAUGUAUUUCAAGGCCUAUCUUCAAACUCAGUGCCUCUUUUCUUGACAUCAUGGGAAUAUCAAAAUCAGGCAAUACCUCACAAAUUGUAGACCUCCACAAGUCUGGUUCAUCAUUGGGAGCAAUUUCCAAAUGCCUGAAGGUACCACGUUCAUCUGUACAAACAGUAGUACACAAAUAUAAACACCAUGGGACCAUGCAGCCGUCAUACCUCUCAGGAAGGAUACGCGUUCUGUCUUCUAGAGUUGAGCAUACUUUGGUGCGAAAAGUUCAAAUCAAUCCCAGAACAACAGUAAAGGACUUUGUGAAGAUGCUGGAGGAAAAGUAUCUAGGUGCAAAAGUAUCUAUAUCCACAGUAAAACAAGUCCUAUAUCGACAUAACCUGAAAGGCAGCUCAGCAAGGAAGAAGUCACUGCUCUUAAACCACCAUAAAAAUGCCAGACUGCGGUUUGCAACUGCACAUGGGGACAAAGAUCGUACUUUUUGGAGAAAUGUCCUCUGGUCUGAUGAAACAAAAAUAGAACCGUUAUGUUUGGAGGAACAUGGGGGAGGCUUGCAAGCCGAAGAACACCAUCCCAACCGUGAAGCACGGGGGUGGCGGAAUCAUGUUGUGGGGGUGCUUUGCUGCAGGGGGGACUGGUGCACUUCACAAAAUAGAUGGCAUCAUGAGAGAGGAAGAUUAUGUGGAUAUAUUGAAGCAGCAUCUCAAGACAACAAUCAGGAAGUUAAAGCUUGGUCGCAAAUGGGUCUUCCAAAUGGACAAUGACCCCAAGCAUACUUCCAAAGUUGUGUCAAAAUGGCUUAAGGACAACAAAGUCAAGGUAUUGGAGUGGCCAUCACAAAGCCCUGACUAUAGAAAAUUUGUGGGCAGAACUGAAAAGGCGUGUGCAGGCAAUGAGGCCUACAAACCUGACUCAGUUACACCAGCUCUGUCCGCAGGAAUGGCAAUGCUACCAAAUACUAAUUGAGCGUAUGUAAACUUCUGACCCACUGGGAAUGUGAUAAAAGAAAUAAAAGCUGAAAUAAAUCAUUCUCUCUUCUAUUAUUCUGACAUUUCACAAUCUUAAAAUAAAGUUGUGAUCCUAACUGACCAAGACAGGGAAUUAACUGGCCAAGACAGGAUUAAAUGUCAGGAAUUGUGAAAAACUGAGUUUAUAUGUAUAUGUAAACUUCCGACUUCAACUGUUUAUAUAUAUAUAUACAGUGGGGAGAACAAGUAUUUGAUACACUGCCGACUUUGCAGGUUUUCCUACUUACAAAGCAUGUAGAGGUCUGUAUUUUUUAUCAUAGGUACACUUCAACUGUGAGAGACGGAAUCUAAAACAAAAAUCCAAAAAAUCACAUUGUAUGAUUUUUAAGUAAUUCCUUUGCAUUUUAUUGCAUGACAUAAGUAUUUGAUCACCUACCAACCAGUAAGAAUUCCAGCUCUCACAGACCUGUUAGUUUUUCUUUAAGAAGCCCUCCUGUUCUCCACUCAUUACCUGUAUUAACUGCACCUGUUUGAAUUCAUUACCUGUAUGAAAGACACCUGUCCACACACUCAAUCAAACAGACUCCAACCUCUCCACAAUGGCCAAGACCAGAGAGGGUGUAAGGACAUCAGGGAUAAAAUUGUAGACCUGCACAAGGCUGGGAUGGGCUACAGGACAAUAGGCAAGCAGCUUGGUGAGAAGGCAACAACUGUUGGCGCAAUUAUUAGAAAAUGGAUGAAGUUCAAGAUGACGGUCAAUCACCCUCGGUCUGGGGCUCCAUGCAAGAUCUCACCUCGUAGGGCAUCAAUGAUCAUGAGGAAGGUGAGGGAUCAGCCCAGAACUACACUGCAGGACCUGGUGCAUGACCUGAAGAGAGCUGGGACCACAGUCUCAAAGAAAACCAUUAGUAACACACUACGCUGUCAUGGAUUAAAAUCCUGCAGCACACUCAAGGUCACCCUGCUCAAGCCAGCGCAUGUCCAGGCCCGUCUGAAGUUUGCCAAUGACCAUCUGGAUGAUCCAGAGGAGGAAUGGGAGAAGGUCAUGUGGUCUGAUGAGACAAAAAUAGAGCUUUUUGUUCUAAACUCCACUCGCCGUGUUUGGAGGAAGAAGAAGGAUGAGUACAACCCCAAGAACACCAUCCCAACCGUGAAGCAUGGAGGUGAAAACAUCAUUCUUUGGGGAUGCUUUUCUGCAAAGGGGACAGGACAACUGCACCGUAUUGAGGGGAGGAUGGAUGGAGUCAUGAAUCGCGAGAUCUUGGCCAAUAACCUCCUUCCCUCAGUAAGAGCAUUGAAGAUGGGUCUUGGCUAGGUCUUCCAGCAUGACAGCGACCCGAAACACACAGUCAGGGCACCUAAGGAGUGGCUCCGUAAGCAGCAUCUCAAGGUCCUGGAGGGGCCUUGCCAGUCUCCAGACCUGAACCCAAUAGAACAUCUUUGGAGGGAGCUGAAAGUCCGUAUUGCCCAGCGACAGCCCCGAAACCUGAAGGAUCUGGAGAAGGUCUGUAUGGAUUAGUGGGCCAAAAUCCCUGCUGCAGUGUGUGCAAACCUGGUCAAGAACUACAGGAAACGUAUGAUCUCUGGAAUUGCAAACAAAGGUUUCUGUACCAAAUAUUAAGUUCAGAUUUUCUGAUGUAUCAAAUACGUAUGUCAUGCAAUAAAAUGCAAAUUAAUUACUUAAAAAUCAUACAAUGUGAUUUUCUGGAUUUUUGUUUUAGAUUCCGUCUCUCACAGUUGAAGUGUACCUAUGAUAAAAAAUUAUAGUUACUUCAAUGCCCUUGCUGAUGGUAGGCUUUGUUACUUUGGUCCCAGCUCUCUGCAGGUCAUUCACUAGGUCCCCCCGUGUGAUUCUGGGAUUUUGGUUCACCGUUCUUGUGAUCAUUUUGACCCCACAGGGUGAGAUCUUGCGUGGAGCCCCAGAUCGAAGGAGAUUAUCAGUGGUCUUGUAUGUCUUCCAUUUCCUAAUGAUUGCUCCCACAGUUGAAUUCUUCAAACCAAGCUGCUUACCAAUUGCAGAUUCAGUCUUCCCAGCCUGGUGCAGGUCUACAAUUUUGUUUCUGGUGUCCUUUGACAGCUCUUUGGUCUUGGCCAUAGUGGAGUUUGGAGUGUGACUGUUUGAGGUUGUGGACAAGUGUCUUUUAUACUGAUAACCCCUCCUGUCUUGUGUCGGGGGGCUAGAGUCAGUUUGUUAUAUCUGGAGUACUGCUCCUGUCCUAUCCGGUGUCCUGUGUUAAUUUAAGUAUGCUCUCUCUAAUUCUCUCUUUCUCUCUUUCUUUCUCUCUCUCGGAGGACUUGAGCCCUAGGACCAUGCCUCAGGACUACCUGACAUGAUGACUCCUUGCUGCUCCAGUUUCAAGUGUUCUGCCUGUGAUUAUUAUUAUUUAUGACCAUUUAUGAACAUUUGAACAUCUUGGCCAUGUUCUGUUACAAUCUCCACCCGGGACAGACAGAAGAGGACUGGCCACCCCACAUAGCCUGGUUCCUCUCUAGGUUUCUUCCUAGGUUUUGUCCUUUCUAGGGAGUUUUUCCUAGCCACCGUGCUUCUACACCUGCAUUGCUUGCUGUUUGGGGUUUUAGGCUGGGUUUCUGUACAGCACUUUGAGAUAUCAGCUGAUGUACGGAGGGCUAUGUAAAUACAUUUGAUUUAAUAACAAGUUCAAACAGGUGCCAUUAAUACAGGUAACGAGUGGAGGACAGAGGAGCCUCUUAAAUAAGAAGUUACAGGUCUGUGAGAGCCAGAAAUCUUGCUUGUUUGUAGGUGACCAAAUACUUAUUUUCCACCAUAAUUUGCAAAUAAAUUAAUAAAAUAUCCUACAAUGUGA